CCUACGGGGGGCAGCAGUGGGGAAUAUUGGACAAUGGGGGGAACCCUGAUCCAGCCAUGCCGCGUGUGUGAAGAAGGCCCUCGGGGUGUAAAGCACUUUCAGUGAGGAAGAACGCCUGGUGGUUAAUACCCAUCAGGAAAGACAUCACUCACAGAAGAAGCACCGGCUAACUCCGUGCCAGCAGCCGCGGUAAUACGGAGGGUGCGAGCGUUAAUCGGAAUUACUGGGCGUAAAGCGCGCGUAGGUGGCUUGAUAAGCCGGUUGUGAAAGCCCCGGGCUCAACCUGGGAACGGCAUCCGGAACUGUCAAGCUAGGGUGCAGGAGAGGAAGGUAGAAUUCCGGGUGUAGCGGUGAAAUGCGUAGAGAUCGGGAGGAAUACCAGUGGCGAAGGAGGCCUUCUGGACUGACACUGCCACUGAGGUGCGAAAGCGUGGGUAGCAAACAGGAUUAGAUACCCUAGUAGUC
This 465-nucleotide ribosomal RNA is filed under the name Vreelandella stevensii. RNAcentral describes it as "partial 16S ribosomal RNA". It matches the Rfam family "Bacterial small subunit ribosomal RNA", at positions 338 to 795 of the family's 1533-position model. The record is from RNAcentral. Lineage: Bacteria; Pseudomonadati; Pseudomonadota; Gammaproteobacteria; Oceanospirillales; Halomonadaceae.